GAUGAACGCUGGCGGAGUGCCUAAUACAUGCAAGUCGAGCGGCAGCACGAGUAGUUUACUACUUGGUGGCGAGCGGCGGACGGCUGAGUAACGCGUGGGAACAUGCCCCAAAGUGAGGGAUAAGCUAUGGAAACAGAGUCUAAUACCGCAUAAGAACUUCGGAUUAAAGUAUUUAUACGCUUUGGGAGUGGCCCGCGUCCGAUUAGGUUGUUGGUGAGGUAAAGGCUCACCAAGCCUACGAUCGGUAGCUGGUCUGAGAGGAUGAUCAGCCAGACUGGGACUGAGACACGGCCCAGACUCCUACGGGAGGCAGCAGUAAGGAAUCUUCCACAAUGGGGGCAACCCUGAUGGAGCAACUCCGCGUGCAGGACGAAGGCCUUCGGGUCGUAAACUGCUUUUAUAAGUGAAGAAUAUGACGGUAACUUAUGAAUAAGGAUCGGCUAACUACGUGCCAGCCGCCGCGGUAA
RNAcentral lists this ribosomal RNA (467 nucleotides) under uncultured bacterium. Its description in RNAcentral is "partial 16S ribosomal RNA". It matches the Rfam family "Bacterial small subunit ribosomal RNA", at positions 28 to 523 of the family's 1533-position model. The record is from RNAcentral.